Molecule: ribosomal RNA, 254 nt
Filed under: uncultured bacterium
Lineage: Bacteria
Description: partial 16S ribosomal RNA
Rfam family: Bacterial small subunit ribosomal RNA
Source: RNAcentral
UACGUAGGGUGCGAGCGUUGUCCGGAAUUAUUGGGCGUAAAGAGCUUGUAGGUGGCUCGUUGCGUCGGGAGUGAAAACCUGCGGCUUAACCGCAGGCCUGCUUCCGAUACGGGCGAGCUAGGAGUUCGGCAGGGGAGACUGGAAUUCCUGGUGUAGCGGUGGAAUGCGCAGAUAUCAGGAGGAACACCGGUGGCGAAGGCGGUUCUCUGGGCCUGUUCUGACGCUGAGGAGCGAAAGCGUGGGGAGCGAACAGG